ACUUUUAACAAUGGAUCUCUAGGCUCUCAUAUCGAUGAAGAACACAGUGAAAUGUGAUAAUUAAUGUGAAUUGCAGAAUUCAGUGAAUCAUCAAGUUUUUGAACGCACCUUGCACCUUUUGGUAUUCCAAAAGGUACACCUGUUUGAGUGUCAUG
RNAcentral lists this ribosomal RNA (155 nucleotides) under Phakopsora pachyrhizi. RNAcentral's name for it is "5.8S ribosomal RNA". It matches the Rfam family "5.8S ribosomal RNA". Rfam says of the family: 5.8S ribosomal RNA (5.8S rRNA) is a component of the large subunit of the eukaryotic ribosome. It is transcribed by RNA polymerase I as part of the 45S precursor that also contains 18S and 28S rRNA. Functionally, it is thought that 5.8S rRNA may be involved in ribosome translocation. The record is from RNAcentral. Lineage: Eukaryota; Fungi; Basidiomycota; Pucciniomycetes; Pucciniales; Phakopsoraceae.